This 481-nucleotide ribosomal RNA is filed under the name uncultured bacterium. RNAcentral's name for it is "partial 16S ribosomal RNA". It matches the Rfam family "Bacterial small subunit ribosomal RNA", at positions 28 to 507 of the family's 1533-position model. The record is from RNAcentral.
GAUGAACGCUGGCGGCGUGCUUAACACAUGCAAGUCGAACGAAGCAUUUGCGACAGAUUUUUUCGGAAUGAAGUUGCUUAUGACUGAGUGGCGGACGGGUGAGUAACGCGUGGGUAACCUGCCUUGUACUGGGGGAUAGCAGCUGGAAACGGCUGGUAAUACCGCAUAAGCGCACAAUGUUGCAUGACAUGGUGUGAAAAACUCCGGUGGUAUAAGAUGGACCCGCGUCUGAUUAGCUAGUUGGUGAGAUAACAGCCCAUCAAGGCGACGAUCAGUAGCCGACCUGAGAGGGUGACCGGCCACAUUGGGACUGAGACACGGCCCAGACUCCUACGGGAGGCAGCAGUGGGGAAUAUUGCACAAUGGAGGAAACUCUGAUGCAGCGACGCCGCGUGAGUGAAGAAGUAAUUCGUUAUGUAAAGCUCUAUAAGCAGGGAAGAUAGUGACGGUACCUGACUAAGAAGCUCCGGCUAAAUACGUG